Molecule: long non-coding RNA, 1608 nt
Filed under: Monodelphis domestica (gray short-tailed opossum)
Lineage: Eukaryota; Metazoa; Chordata; Mammalia; Didelphimorphia; Didelphidae
Description: lncRNA (ENSMODG00000042814.1)
Source: RNAcentral
CAACCAAAGAAUUUUGACAAAUAAUACCAAACUCUAAUUAGAAUCACAUCCUAAAAGAAAAAAGAAUCAGCAGAUGAAAAAGCUAGUCUAAACAAAUUUAAUGAGAGAGAAAAUGAAGCAAACUCAUUUCUAAAAAUUGUAAGGAAUUGAAAGAAAUCAUUUGAAAAGAAUAAUAAAUUCUGAGUAGGUUUUAUAAUGAAAUUUUCAUGAUCAAGUAGAUUGAAGCAAGCACCCUUGGUUUAAAAUAUCACUGUUUCAUAUGUGUAUGUCAAGGAGGUUGUAAUGGUGCUAAAUAGAACACAUAUAGUAGAAGAAGCUUGAUUAAAUUGAUUAUUCAUAGAUAAUAUCCAUGCUAUACUUGACACAAUUAUUAGUUCUUUGAAAGAUUGAGGAAAAUAUCAAAGGCUUGGAAAAAAAUGAUUCGAUCUUGUUAAUAAUGAAUAAAAGAUGACAGACCAAGCAUCAUUAAAUAGCAAUUAUGGAAAUAAUUACCAAAUGCAUGGAGGUCAUUGUAGUAGAUACCACUAUUAGGGAAAUUAUGGUAAUAGGAAAUGCUAAAGCCAUAACACCAGGAAGCCAACUAGGGGAAAGACUGGAUCCUGUGCUCCUCCCCCAACCCUACUUUCUGUUCGGUCCCCUGCAACUAUCUUGAAUGUUCUUCUCAGAAAUAACCAUGAGCACAGGAUUGGAGACGUCAGCCAUUGCUUCACUCUUCAUCUGGUUUUGGAGGUUCUCCACAGUAAAGAUAAGAGAACCUGAAGCCCCCGGAAGAAAGCUGAUUUGCCCAAGGUUACUCAGGCAGAAAAGGAGGAGGGGCAAAAAUAGAAAGAUGAGGAAAAGUAUGGGGAAGAGGAAGAAAGACAGAGAAGAAGUAGAGGAAGAAGAAAGAGGAGAGAAAGAAGAGAAGGAAUUACUUUUUAUUUACUUUACAAAUAUAUCAUAUUUAUUUUGAUAUAUAUUAUUUUCCCUCCACUGAAGUUUAAGUUCCUUCAGGACAUGGAUUGCUGAUUUUUUUUUUCUUUGAAUUCCCAAUGGCUAGAAGAGGUGUCCACCUAUGGUAAACACUUUAAUAAUGCUUAUGAUGAAUUAAAUUAAAUCAAACCCAGUCAACUUAGUUGCCUCCUAAAGCUGUUUGGAGCUCUGUGAAUAUCACUCAGGUACUUUGGUGGGCUUGUGAUCUCACUGAUACAGAUUCUUAGGGCUAGUACAAAGCAAAACAUUUAUACAAAGUGUUAUAAUGUACAAAGCACAACCAUGAUGUCUCAUUCUACAUGAUCCUCUUCUAUAUUCUCCUACAAAUUCUUCUCAAAAGUCCAAUCCAACUCACUGGCCACUUUCCUUGGAGUCUUUGGGAAGCAGUUACCUUUUCUCCGUAGUCCCUAAUUUUCACUAAAUGACUGUCCUACCUCCUUUUUCUAUCAUACUUGUCUUCAGUUCUAGUUUUUACAUGCAAAUCAUCAUUGUGUCAGAUUGUGGGUCUCUUUAUUGUUCUUUCUGUCCCAGCAAUUUUGCUUCUUUGCCAGUCACAGUGAUCUAUGAUUUACAACUUUGUGUCCUCACCAGAAGGCUAUUGCUAUUCAAUAAAUGAAUUUUAGUAGGAUCCUGCCA